UACGAAGGGGGCUAGCGUUGCUCGGAUUGACUGGGCGUAAAGGGCGCGUAGGCGGUUCGUACAGUCAGACGUGAAAUUCCUGGGCUCAACCUGGGGGCUGCGUUUGAUACGUGCGGACUUGAGUGCGGAAGAGGGGUCGUGGAAAUUCCCAGUGUAGAGGUGAAAAUUCGUAGAUAUUGGGAAGAACACCGGGUGGCGAAGGCGGCGACCUGGUCCGAUACUGGACGCUGAGGCGCGAAAGCUAGGGGGAGCAAA
Molecule: ribosomal RNA, 255 nt
Filed under: uncultured bacterium
Lineage: Bacteria
Description: partial 16S ribosomal RNA
Rfam family: Bacterial small subunit ribosomal RNA
Source: RNAcentral